AUUGAACGCUGGCGGCAUGCCUUACACAUGCAAGUCGAACGGCAGCACGGGUGCUUGCACCUGGUGGCGAGUGGCGAACGGGUGAGUAAUACAUCGGAACGUACCUUAUCGUGGGGGAUAACGCAGCGAAAGCUGUGCUAAUACCGCAUACGCCCUGAGGGGGAAAGCGGGGGAUCGAAAGACCUCGCGCGAUUAGAGCGGCCGAUGCCUGAUUAGCUUGUUGGUGGGGUAAAAGCCCACCAAGGCGACGAUCAGUAGCUGGUCUGAGAGGAUGAUCAGCCACACUGGGACUGAGACACGGCCCAGACUCCUACGGGAGGCAGCAGUGGGAAAUUUUGGACAAUGGGGGCAACCCUGAUCCAGCAAUGCCGCGUGAGUGAAGAAGGCCUUCGGGUUGUAAAGCUCUUUUGUCAGGGAAGAAACACCGGCUCUAACACAGUCCGGGAAUGACGGUACCUGAAGAAUAAGCACCGGCUAACUACGUGCCAGCAGCCGCCGUAA
RNAcentral lists this ribosomal RNA (501 nucleotides) under uncultured bacterium. RNAcentral describes it as "partial 16S ribosomal RNA". It matches the Rfam family "Bacterial small subunit ribosomal RNA", at positions 30 to 523 of the family's 1533-position model. The record is from RNAcentral.